This is a long non-coding RNA of Hemicordylus capensis (graceful crag lizard), 593 nucleotides long. RefSeq lists it as uncharacterized. The transcript has 4 exons. Lineage: Eukaryota; Metazoa; Chordata; Lepidosauria; Squamata; Cordylidae. The record is from RefSeq and is a predicted model, not a curated record.
UGCCUGUGAUUACUUUGUAGAGCUUGAAUCAAACAAACUACAUUAAUAUUUUAAGAUAUGCAAAACAUGGACACAUAUUUAUUAGAUAGUAUAAAUAAUUACAUGCUUAUAGGAGGAACUAGUGCACAACUUACUGUGGAAAUGCAAACCUGAAGAGUUGUGAUAAAUGAGCAGUUGACAGAGGUUUUUCUUCUUCACUGCUGAAAUAUUGAGGAUAUUCUUGCUGUGUUGGUCUCUCAGAAUGGGAGAUUAACAGCCGAAGCCUGACCAUAUCAACUUGGAACAGCAACAUCAUUUCUUUGAUUCCAGCUCCAGUUCAAGUUGCCUGAGACAUUUCAUUAUUCAGCUUGUGUUGGAUAUUUGUCAUGUUUUCUCGAUGUACCAUUUAUCUUCAGAGUGCAUAAUGAGUUCUGCAAGGAAGGAAUGUCUGUGAAGUCCAGGAGGUCUCUCAUCCUACUAGCACCAGAGGAAACAGUUGUGAGAAAAAGAGUGGAAUUUCUUGUUCAUAUCAAGUGCCCUUUGAAUUAUGUUUAACUUCCUGCAUCCUAUUGGCUCCAGGAUACAGAUUUUCAAACAGAGCUUGAUUAAUCAUC